UAUAUAUAUAUUUUUGGCAGGGUUGACAUAGUCACAAGUUGAUUCUGAUGUUGUCGAUCCAUCUUUUGAGCCACUAAUACUAGUAGAAGAUUCCACUAUAUAACUUGUAAGAUCAACCAUCCGGUUCUCGAAGUUGUCUUCUGCACUUGUUGAAGCUGUUAGCUCUCCCUCACUUGGAAGAUUCCUCGGCUAUGUGUCAACUACUAUGGUUGUAAAGCCUGGCCAUGUACUGGACUUCCUUUGUGAGAAUCAGAAUGUGAAACAUCCAGAUUUUAUUGAUUGGACCAAGGCAAAAAGUGUGCUGAAAAACCUCAGAAUCAAGGUUAAUAAUCUUGAGUUCAAAAUCAGUGGACUCAGUGAUAAUACUUGCAGGACUCAGAAUUACCAUGAAGAUAUCAAGCUCUGAUUGGCUGAACAUGUUCAAGUUUUGUUGCUUCAUUGCUUGCAUUGGAUCUAUCUUCAUAACCCUUUUUCUAUGUAGAUGAUGUAAUAGUGCUAUUGAGUGUGUGAUUUACAUAUAAUUAGCUUUACUUAAUGGUAGUUUUUAUUUAUAAAUGGUUGUAUUAGUGAUUAAGAAACAAUGAAUUGUAGAAGCAAAGGGUUUUGACAUAGCAAAUUGGAGAAGGAAAAGAAGCAAAA
Molecule: non-coding RNA, 639 nt
Organism: Arachis ipaensis
Lineage: Eukaryota; Viridiplantae; Streptophyta; Magnoliopsida; Fabales; Fabaceae
Source: RefSeq, a predicted model, not a curated record